This 460-nucleotide ribosomal RNA is filed under the name uncultured bacterium. RNAcentral's name for it is "partial 16S ribosomal RNA". It matches the Rfam family "Bacterial small subunit ribosomal RNA", at positions 338 to 795 of the family's 1533-position model. The record is from RNAcentral.
CCUACGGGAGGCAGCAGUGAGGAAUAUUGGUCAAUGGGCGAGAGCCUGAACCAGCCAAGUAGCGUGAAGGAUGACUGCCCUACGGGUUGUAAACUUCUUUUAUAUGGGAAUAAAAUGUUCCACGUGUGCGUUUUUGUAUGUACCAUAUGAAUAAGGAUCGGCUAACUCCGUGCCAGCAGCCGCGGUAAUACGGAGGAUCCGAGCGUUAUCCGGAUUUAUUGGGUUUAAAGGGAGCGUAGAUGGGUUGUUAAGUCAGUUGUGACAGUUUGCGGCUCAACCGUAAAAUUGCAAUUGAGACUGGCAGUCUUGAGUACAGUAGAGGUGGGCGGAAUUCGUGGUGUAGCGGUGAAAUGCUUAGAUAUCACGAAGAACUCCGAUUGCGAAGGCAGCUCACCAAACUGCAACUGACACUGAGGCUCGAAAGUGUGGGUAUCAAACAGGAUUAGAUACCCCAGUAGUC